GGGCUCCCUGGCGGGGCCUGGCUGUGGGGAGGAGGGCGGUGUCUCUCGGCCGCGGCGCCGGACUCGCUGCCGGCGUCGCCGCUUUCCGCAGCGGGGCCCGCCGGGCCUUCCCGUGCGCAGCCGCUGGCCUCCUGCCGCCUCUUCUGGGAAGGCGGGGCUCGGCCCCGGCGCCGCGCCGCAGCGUGUCCCGUGUGUGUGCGAGGGGGCUGAGGAGCCGGCGGCCGCCUCGCUGCGGGGGAGCCCGCUUGGGCCGGGGCCGCGCCGACGGGCAGGGAGGGCCGCGGAGGAGGCGGGCUUCUCGUCCCUCUGGAAAUGACCUUGUAAAGAUGGAAGUAAGAAAAGGAAAUUAGCCUAUGUUAGAAACUCUCUGGGAGGGAAAAUGAAGAAAAGAAAGUCAGUGCAAACAAAGGGGAAUGACAGAGGCUGAAUCAGAGAAAGGUGGGGAUUUUCACAGAGAAUGAGGAAUGUAUGGAGUGUGGGUGAAAGGGGCCCGACAGUUGUUCAGGUCUAGAAAUGCCCGCUUAAUCUUUCCGGAAGCUCAAUAGUCUCUUCCAAUAGUACCAGUUAAUUAAAAAUCCCACACAGACCAAAACCCCCUAUUUGCACUAACAUUGUCUUGCUACUGUGGUACUCUACUACAGAGAAAUCCAGCAUACUUUUAAGAGUUUCAAGUGUGACUGGACAUGAAUGUUACAGAAUGCCACAGCCAGCUGUUCGAAACCCCCAGCUUUGUGCCUGUGUGUGUUUUAACCCCAUUCCCACUGGCUCCUCUGACUGUUCUGGACUGCCAUUAAACUGUAUUUCUAAAGGAGCUGCUAGUAUUUAUGGAUUUUCUCUUUUAUCAGGAAGUGGUGGUGGUCACCAAUGAGCCAGAAAGAAAAUGGAAGUCCCUGUCAAUGUGGGUGCUUUCAAGCUAGUGGGAUCAAUGUUGGAGGAGGAGGGAGGUAAGGUACAAGGUGUUCUGGAGUGUCAGGAGUGUCUAUCAGCCCAGAUAGCUCCCAGGAAGAUAUCUUUCCCAUGCACCAAAUAGUUUAUGGACGUAGGGUAUAUACUUUUACUUUGGGAAUACUCUGGUCUUCCUGCUUGUGCUCAAAACCAGGACCUCCUGCAAAUGGUGUAGGCACAGUGACACCACCUCAGGGUCCUGGUGAAGCAAGUUUUUGGGAAGAAAUGGAGUAGCAGUGACCACCCUGCUCCCAAUGGCCAAGCAGCUACAACCAUCCUCUUUCUCCGUGGCCGUACAUCCAAGCCUUAACACUGUUUCCCAUGUGCUUGAUUUGCCUGGGUGCACCUGGACUGUCUUGCAGGGCACAGGUUGAGGUCUGAAAGUCUUUUCUGCCCUGCAGUGACAUG
RNAcentral lists this long non-coding RNA (1353 nucleotides) under Otus sunia (Oriental scops-owl). RNAcentral describes it as "lncRNA (ENSOSUG00000009419.1)". The record is from RNAcentral. Lineage: Eukaryota; Metazoa; Chordata; Aves; Strigiformes; Strigidae.